This 118-nucleotide small RNA is filed under the name unclassified sequences. Its description in RNAcentral is "LOOT RNA". It matches the Rfam family "LOOT RNA". Rfam says of the family: Latescibacteria, OD1/Parcubacteria, OP11, TM7. Lineage (Microgenomates, aka OP11) The record is from Rfam by way of RNAcentral.
UGCCUAAGUCCUGUUAGGAUAUGGCAAAAAAAACCCAACCACGGCGGUAAGCUCCUCAUCGAGCACUCGUGGUUGGGUCAUACGGGGAAACCUGUAUGGGUGGUCUGAAAAGAUUGCC